Small nucleolar RNA from Erigeron canadensis, 73 nucleotides. RefSeq annotates it as small nucleolar RNA snoR60. The record is from RefSeq and is a predicted model, not a curated record. NCBI's taxonomy places the organism in Eukaryota, Viridiplantae, Streptophyta, Magnoliopsida, Asterales, Asteraceae. The transcript has a single exon.
UCGCAUAUGAUGAGUUUACUCGGAUUCCCCUUCAGGACAUCUUUGGAUGAUGCGAAAUCGAGUUUCUGAUGCA